RNAcentral lists this ribosomal RNA (806 nucleotides) under uncultured Bacteroidota bacterium. RNAcentral describes it as "bacterial SSU rRNA". It matches the Rfam family "Bacterial small subunit ribosomal RNA", at positions 1 to 799 of the family's 1533-position model. The record is from RNAcentral. Lineage: Bacteria; Pseudomonadati; Bacteroidota.
AGGAGAGUUUGAUCCUGGCUCAGGAUGAACGCUAGCUACAGGCUUAACACAUGCAAGUCGCGGGGCAUCGCGGUAAGUAGCAAUACUUUCUGGCGGCGACCGGCGGAUGGGUGAGUAACGCGUAUCCAACCUGGCCCUAUCUCGGGGACAGCCCCUCGAAAGAGGGAUUAAUACCCGAUGUUCCCUGGUUUCCGCAUGUUUACCAGGGCAAAGGCUUUUGUCGGAUAGGGAUGGGGAUGCGUUCCAUUAGGCAGUCGGCGGGGUAACGGCCCACCGAGCCUACGAUGGAUAGGGGUUCUGAGAGGAAGGCCCCCCACACUGGGACUGAGACACGGCCCAGACUCCUACGGGAGGCAGCAGUGAGGAAUAUUGGUCAAUGGCGGCAACGCUGAACCAGCCAAGUAGCGUGAGGGAUUACUGCCCUAUGGGUUUUAAACCUCUUUUGUUGGGGAGCAACCGGUGCCACUUGUGGCACCCUGCGAGUACCCUUCGAAUAAGCAUCGGCUAACUCCGUGCCAGCAGCCGCGGUAAUACGGAGGAUGCGAGCGUUAUCCGGAUUUAUUGGGUUUAAAGGGAGCGCGGACCGGAGAUUAAGUCAGCUGUUAAAUGGCGGCGCCCAACGUCGUCCUGCGGUUGAUACUGGUUUCCUUGAGUGCGGUAUGGGCAUGCGGAAUUCACGGUGUAGCGGUGAAAUGCUUAGAUAUCGUGAAGAACUCCGAUCGCGAAGGCAGCGUGCCGGACCGUUACUGACGUUUAGGCUCGAAAGUGCGGGUAUCAAACAGGAUUAGAUACCCUGGUAGUCCCCU